ACACACACACACAAAUGUAGAGAUCUCGGAGUGAGGGAGCUGCCCAUGGUAAGGCGACCCGAGCAGUUGGGGGUUCAGUGCCUUGCUCAAGAGCACUUUGGCAGUGCCCAGGAGGGGAACUGGCACCUCUCCAGCUACCAGUCCACCACCAUACUAUGGUCCGUAUGGGGACUUGAACCAGCGA
Molecule: long non-coding RNA, 184 nt
Organism: Etheostoma spectabile (orangethroat darter)
Lineage: Eukaryota; Metazoa; Chordata; Actinopteri; Perciformes; Percidae
Exons: 4
Source: RefSeq, a predicted model, not a curated record